UACGAAGGGGGCGAGCGUUAUUCGGAAUCACUGGGCGUAAAGCGUGCGUAGGCGGUUUUAAAAGUUGGAAGUGAAAGCCCAGGGCUCAACCCUGGAAUUGCUCUCAAAACUAUAAGACUCGGAUUCGGGAGAGGAUAGCGGAAUUGUCAGUGUAGCAGUGAAAUGCGUAGAUAUUGACAGGAACACCAGUGGCGCAAGCGGCUAUCUGGACCGACGUCGACGCUGAGGCACGAAAGCGUGGGGAUCAAACAGG
Molecule: ribosomal RNA, 253 nt
Filed under: uncultured bacterium
Lineage: Bacteria
Description: partial 16S ribosomal RNA
Rfam family: Bacterial small subunit ribosomal RNA
Source: RNAcentral